GUAGGGAAUCUUCCGCAAUGGACGAAAGUCUGACGGAGCAACGCCGCGUGAGUGAUGAAGGUUUUCGGAUCGUAAAGCUCUGUUGUUAGGGAAGAACAAGUGCAAGAGUAACUGCUUGCACCUUGACGGUACCUAACCAGAAAGCCACGGCUAACUACGUGCCAGCAGCCGCGGUAAUACGUAGGUGGCAAGCGUUGUCCGGAAUUAUUGGGCGUAAAGGGCUCGCAGGCGGUUUCUUAAGUCUGAUGUGAAAGCCCCCGGCUCAACCGGGGAGGGUCAUUGGAAACUGGGAAACUUGAGUGCAGAAGAGGAGAGUGGAAUUCCACGUGUAGCGGUGAAAUGCGUAGAGAUGUGGAGGAACACCAGUGGCGAAGGCGACUCUCUGGUCUGUAACUGACGCUGAGGAGCGAAAGCGUGGGGAGCGAACAGG
RNAcentral lists this ribosomal RNA (430 nucleotides) under uncultured bacterium. RNAcentral's name for it is "bacterial SSU rRNA". It matches the Rfam family "Bacterial small subunit ribosomal RNA", at positions 354 to 776 of the family's 1533-position model. The record is from RNAcentral.